Molecule: transfer RNA, 94 nt
Filed under: Thermoflexus hugenholtzii
Lineage: Bacteria; Bacillati; Chloroflexota; Thermoflexia; Thermoflexales; Thermoflexaceae
Also listed under: 3 other names
Description: tRNA-Sec
Rfam family: Selenocysteine transfer RNA
Source: RNAcentral
GGGGGCGGUUGGCCUCUGGUGAGGCCCCCGGUCUUCAAAACCGGUGUCGGGCCGCGGCGCGGCCCGGGGUGGGUUCGAUUCCCAUCCGCUCCCG